GACGAACGCUGGCGGCGUGCUUAACACAUGCAAGUCGAACGGAAAGGCCCUGCUUUUGUGGGGUGCUCGAGUGGCGAACGGGUGAGUAACACGUGAGUAACCUGCCCUUGACUUUGGGAUAACUUCAGGAAACUGGGGCUAAUACCGGAUAGGAGCUCCUGCUGCAUGGUGGGGGUUGGAAAGCUUCGGCGGUUGGGGAUGGACUCGCGGCUUAUCAGCUUGUUGGUGGGGUAGUGGCUUACCAGGGCUUUGACGGGUAGCCGGCCUGAGAGGGUGACCGGCCACAUUGGGACUGAGAUACGGCCCAGACUCCUACGGGAGGCAGCAGUGGGGAAUAUUGCACAAUGGGCGGAAGCCUGAUGCAGCAACGCCGCGUGCGGGAUGACGGCCUUCGGGUUGUAAACCGCUUUCGCCUGUGACGAAGCGUGAGUGACGGUAAUGGGUAAAGAAGCACCGGCUAACUACGUGCCAGCAGCCGCGGUGAUACGUAGGGUGCGAGCGUUGUCCGGAUUUAUUGGGCGUAAAGGGCUCGUGGGUGGUUGAUCGCGUCGGAAGUGUAAUCUUGGGGCUUAACCCUGAGCGUGCUUUCGAUACGGGUUGACUUGAGGAAGGUAGGGGAGAAUGGAAUUCCUGGUGGAGCGGUGGAAUGCGCAGAUAUCAGGAGGAACACCAGUGGCGAAGGCGGUUCUCUGGGCCUUCCCUGACGCUGAGGAGCGAAAGCGUGGGGAGCGAACAGGCUUAGAUACCCUGGUAGUCCACGCUGUAAACGGUGGGUACUAGGUGUGGGGUCCAUUCCACGGGUUCCGUGCCGUAGCUAACGCUUUAAGUACCCCGCCUGGGGAGUACGGCCGCAAGGCUAAAACUCAAAGGAAUUGACGGGGCCCCGCACAAGCGGCGGAGCAUGCGGAUUAAUUCGAUGCAACGCGUAGAACCUUACCUGGGUUUGACAUGGAUCGGGAGUGCUCAGAGAUGGGUGUGCCUCUUUUGGGGUCGGUUCACAGGUGGUGCAUGGCUGUCGUCAGCUCGUGUCGUGAGAUGUUGGGUUAAGUCCCGCAACGAGCGCAACCCUUGUUCACUGUUGCCAGCACGUUAUGGUGGGGACUCAGUGGAGACCGCCGGGGUCAACUCGGAGGAAGGUGGGGAUGACGUCAAGUCAUCAUGCCCCUUAUGUCCAGGGCUUCACGCAUGCUACAAUGGCUGGUACAGAGAGUGGCGAGCCUGUGAGGGUGAGCGAAUCUCGGAAAGUCGGUCUCAGUUCGGAUUGGGGUCUGCAACUCGACCUCAUGAAGUCGGAGUCGCUAGUAAUCGCAGAUCAGCAACGCUGCGGUGAAUACGUUCCCGGG
RNAcentral lists this ribosomal RNA (1343 nucleotides) under uncultured bacterium. RNAcentral describes it as "16S ribosomal RNA". It matches the Rfam family "Bacterial small subunit ribosomal RNA", at positions 28 to 1378 of the family's 1533-position model. The record is from RNAcentral.